This 162-nucleotide ribosomal RNA is filed under the name Escherichia coli. RNAcentral describes it as "partial 16S ribosomal RNA". It matches the Rfam family "Bacterial small subunit ribosomal RNA", at positions 1 to 154 of the family's 1533-position model. The record is from RNAcentral. Lineage: Bacteria; Pseudomonadati; Pseudomonadota; Gammaproteobacteria; Enterobacterales; Enterobacteriaceae.
UUAAAUUGAAGAGUUUGAUCAUGGCUCAGAUUGAACGCUGGCGGCAGGCCUAACACAUGCAAGUCGAACGGUAACAGGAAGCAGCUUGCUGCUUUGCUGACGAGUGGCGGACGGGUGAGUAAUGUCUGGGAAMCUGCCSGAUGGAGGGGGRUWRMUCCUGGG